AUUUAUAUAGUUUAAAUAAAACACUACAUUUUCACUGUAAAAAUAAUAUUCCUAUAUUUAUAAAUG
This 66-nucleotide transfer RNA is filed under the name Chorthippus nemus. RNAcentral describes it as "tRNA-Glu". The record is from RNAcentral. Lineage: Eukaryota; Metazoa; Arthropoda; Insecta; Orthoptera; Acrididae.